This 253-nucleotide ribosomal RNA is filed under the name uncultured bacterium. RNAcentral describes it as "partial 16S ribosomal RNA". It matches the Rfam family "Bacterial small subunit ribosomal RNA", at positions 524 to 776 of the family's 1533-position model. The record is from RNAcentral.
UACAGAGGUCUCAAGCGUUGUUCGGAUUCAUUGGGCGUAAAGGGUGCGUAGGUGGCGUCGUAAGUCGGGUGUGAAAUUUCGGAGCUUAACUCCGAAACUGCAUUCGAUACUGCGGUGCUUGAGGACUGGAGAGGAGACUGGAAUUUACGGUGUAGCAGUGAAAUGCGUAGAGAUCGUAAGGAAGACCAGUGGCGAAGGCGGGUCUCUGGACAGUUCCUGACACUGAGGCACGAAGGCCAGGGGAGCGAACGGG